This 102-nucleotide ribosomal RNA is filed under the name Phragmites australis (common reed). Its description in RNAcentral is "partial 18S ribosomal RNA". The record is from RNAcentral. Lineage: Eukaryota; Viridiplantae; Streptophyta; Magnoliopsida; Poales; Poaceae.
AUGAUUCAUGAUGAACUCGACGGCAUCGCACGGCCCUCGUGCCGGCAGACANCAUCAUUCAUAANUUCUGCCCUAUCAACUUUNGAUGGUGAGGAUAGGGGC